Molecule: ribosomal RNA, 409 nt
Filed under: Verrucomicrobiota bacterium
Lineage: Bacteria; Pseudomonadati; Verrucomicrobiota
Description: Verrucomicrobia bacterium partial 16S ribosomal RNA
Rfam family: Bacterial small subunit ribosomal RNA
Source: RNAcentral
UGGGGAAUAUUGCACAAUGGGCGGAAGCCUGAUGCAGCGACGCCGCGCGAGGGAUGACGGCCUUCGGGUUGUAAACCUCUUUCAGUAGGGACGAAGCGUAAGUGACGGUACCUGCAGAAGAAGCACCGGCUAACUACGUGCCAGCAGCCGCGGUAAUACGUAGGGUGCGAGCGUUGUCCGGAAUUACUGGGCGUAAAGAGCUCGUAGGCGGUUUGUCACGUCGUCUGUGAAAUCCUAGGGCUUAACCCUGGACGUGCAGGCGAUACGGGCUGACUUGAGUACUACAGGGGAGACUGGAAUUUCUGGUGUAGCGGUGGAAUGCACAGAUAUCAGGAAGAACACCGAUGGCGAAGGCAGGUCUCUGGGUAGUAACUGACGCUGAGGAGCGAAAGCAUGGGUAGCGAACAGG